This 660-nucleotide ribosomal RNA is filed under the name Vittaforma corneae. RNAcentral describes it as "SSU rRNA". It matches the Rfam family "Microsporidia small subunit ribosomal RNA", at positions 447 to 1145 of the family's 1311-position model. The record is from RNAcentral. Lineage: Eukaryota; Fungi; Microsporidia; Nosematidae.
AAAAAGUCCGUAGUCAUAGAAGGGCAAAGAGAGAUGCGAGGUCUCACAGUGCGAUGAUGGAGGAGCCGAUGGGGAACAUAGUAUACCAGGGCGAGAGAUGAAAUGCCAAGACCCCUGGUGGACUGAGCGAGGCGAAGGCGAUGUUCUUGUAGGCAUUCGGUGAUCAAGGACGAAGGCUGGAGUAUCGAAAGUGAUUAGAUACCGCAGUAGUUCCAGCAGUAAAAGAUGCCGACAUGCUCAUUGGACACAGUGGGCACAGAGAAAUCUUAGAGUUCGGGCUCUGGGGAUAGUAUGCUCGCAAGGGUGAAAAUUAAAGAAAUUGACGGAGCUACACCACAAGGAGUGGAUUGUGCGGCUUAAUUUGACUCAACGCGAGGAAACUUACCAGGGCCAAGUAUUGUGUAGAAACGAGCAAUACAGGAGUGGUGCAUGGUCGUUGGAAAUUGAUGGGAUGACUUUGACCUUAAAUGGUUGAAUGAGUGAGAUCUUUUGGACAUGUUCCGCACGGAACAGGAAGGAAAAGGCUAUAACAGAUCCGAGAUGCCCUCAGAUGCCCUGGGCUGCACGCGCAAUACAAUAGCAGGUAGAGAGAGAGACAGGAAGGGGCUCAGAUGGACUAUGUGCUGUAAGGCACAAACGAAAGAGGAAUUCCUAGUAAGU